Long non-coding RNA from Populus nigra (black poplar), 2634 nucleotides. RefSeq lists it as uncharacterized. The record is from RefSeq and is a predicted model, not a curated record. The transcript has 2 exons. Lineage: Eukaryota; Viridiplantae; Streptophyta; Magnoliopsida; Malpighiales; Salicaceae.
UCAUUCCCAUACUUAAUGAAUUAUUGUUUCAUCAACCCAAUUGUAUAUAUUUUUUUCCAAUGACCCUCAUCAAAUUUCUUGAAAAAAAGAAAGAAAAAGGAAUGCACGCGUAUAAGCAGGGUUGAAUGCCUUUUGGGCAUUUGGAGAUGGGCUUGCAGUGACCGGAAGCUUACAGGGGACAGCAAACACAAUCCGAUGAAGUGAGCAAGAACUUCCUUGGCUUCUGUCCAAUCACUCAACGGUGGUUUUGUCACAUUUCAUCAAGUUGAUUUCCCAUACCUCCAUAAGUCUACAGUCCUUAUCACGUUUAUCUCUUAACCCUUUCCCCUGUUCACCUUCCCGGGUCACAAUCCAGCCUCCUGGCUAUUAUGACUAAUCGAUUCUCUGUUUACUGGAUCCUAUGCAUAUUAAUUUCUUGGUGUCCAAAUUAGGUCUUUGAAUAAUGGGCCUGUCUAAUACGUGUCUUUAGAGGAACGCAUGUUCACUGUCGACUAUCCCAUUUUUCAACCAUGGAAUCAAACCGCUGAUAAUUCACUGUUAGACUUUUUUUUUUUUUAAGUCUAACAAUCCUUGUUGCGAUUAAGCUCCUUUUCAAGUUUGUGGGCAAAAAAAAGAAUUAGUCAAAGUGGCAGUAACCGAGGUCGACUAAAUUUGUUGUUGAAUGGGCCCAAUUUUAUUUCUCCACUUAGGUACAUCUGAAAAUAUGGUUCAUAAGACAUAGCACCCUGGCGUGGUCCAGAAUAUCCGUAGGUUACAGCGAGGAUUCAGGGGCCUUGAGCUGAGCUGUUCUUGCUAGAAAAUUGGAAAAAGGUCUGAAUAGUCCUUCUCAACGUGACUCGUGGUGUUGUGCAAGCGCAUUUAUGACAUGUGAGGAUACAGAAACCGCAAAGCACACUGUUUGAAUUGCAUUCUUGUACUCGGUUCAAUGCUGUGCUGCUCAGUUAUUUGACAAAUCCAUGGAUCUUCUUUCUAACAUGGUCCACUUUCAAGAUAUAUGGAGGGAGCUUGCAUUCAUGGUUCAUUCAUUUCCAUAGAUCUUCUUUUCUCUCUGUCACAUGGAUACACAGUGCAUGCCUUCGUCUUCUUCCUUGUACAAAUGUCACAGUAAUUCCAUCACUUGAUGGAUGUACGAAGUAACUCCCUUCUCUUAAUCAGUCCUUUCUCUGAUUCUUUUUGAAACUUCUCUUUCAAUUGAUGCCAGUGAUGCACAGAUUUAACCAUCAGAUUCUUUUCUUCCAGCUGUGGUUAUCUUUCUUGUGCCUGCAAAUGGCAGCAAGAGCAAAUGAAAAUUAUAACUCGAAGACCUUUAGUAACCAAGGCAGAGAAUCGCUGAUGAAGUCAAUCAAUGGCCUACCGAUUCUUCACUCCUAUAUUCACCUCGCUAAUUUCUGUUGGCGGGACUCAAGCAACUGAUCAACCCAAUCAAUGGCUUACUGCUUCCAUGAUAUGUAUACGAUGAUUAUGUUGUUAAAGCCAUGUUUAGAAAUGCAAUAAAAUGCUACGUUUAUUUGGACAUCUCCUUCUGUUCCUCUUGGCAACACAGUAUUACUUUUGUAUAGCAACAUGUUCCUAGGCAAGUUACUUCAAUGGAUACAUAAUUACACAUGAAUGCUGACAAUGAGGGACUAAUACACAGGAUUACCACUAGCGAUCGAGGUGAUGGCAGUUGCGUUCGGAGGGUGGUCAGGAUUGGAGGGAAGCAGUGGCUGGGAAAAAUUCCCAGCUACAAUUCCUGUGAUGAUUUUUGCUUUGGUGUAUCAUGAUCCAGCACCUGUUCUUUAUGCUUAUUUGGGUGGUGACCUUAAGUGUCUAAGCUAAGGGCUUCAGUUUUGCUGGGUAGCAUCGUUCCUUUUCUGGCAUUGCUUGUUUGGGAUGCGAUUGCACUUGGCCUUUCUGAUCAGGCUGGUCAUGUUAUCGAUCCAGUUUAAUAAUUUCUGAUGAGGUAAAUUAAGUGUAGAGAUGCUCAAUAAAUUUCUUGUUACGUAGCUCAUAGAUUAACUAACAGAUGAAUAAAUUCUCUAUGGUGCGUGGUUCUUAUGCAUCGGUGAGGGGUGGAGCGGGGUCCAAGACCCAUAUUAUUGGCCCAUCAUACCAAAGCUCAAAUUUAAGUCACAGGUACUUUUAGGAGAAAGUUACACCAAGUAAUUUGCUUUUCCUCUUCCUCUGCUACAAUAUCAAGGAUUUUCUCCAUUUGCUAGCUUCACAGAUAAUUUCAUUACCUUCAUGAGUAAGAUCACGUCCUUCGCUACGAGCUUGUACAUAUACUUCUAGAGCUACUUGAUUAGCAACGGCACCAAGUACAUUUCUCCAAGGAUACCAUAAAAUUCCUCCACCGAAUUGUAGUAUGGGAUCAUCUCCAAAGAUCUCGGUUAGAGUAGGCAUAUACCAAACAUGAAUACCCCCUGAAGCAAUGGCCAGAACCCCUGAUAGAAAGAUCCAAUCUUGAGUGAAAUAAAUAUCGCGGCUUCGAUUUGUUUUAAGCUUAAGUUUUAGUUUAAGAGAAAUUGAAGUAACAAGUAAAUAUUCUUCAUUUACUGUUAUUUUUUAUGAGGAGAUUGAUUGUGAAAGGAAUAAGAAAGAGUUUAGGGUUUUUAUUUUGAUUUAAUGAUAUAAUAAUUUAAGAGUUUUAAUUGA